AUGAGUUGCACACAUCGACCCCGUGGCUACCUAUGGAGGAACAAGGUGACACUUCUUAGGCACAGUGAUGGGAAUAUGAGGCUGGAAGAAGUCAGAGUUCAGAUCCUCUCACUUAUUACAGAGGUGAAGCCAUCUAGGCCCUGGGAUAGGGAUACAGACAUGGGGUCCAAGGUUGGCCUACACCAUCCAACCAGCAGCAGGGAUCCGAGUCCUCACCUCAAGGCUGACUCUCCCUUUCCUUCUCUCUGGCAACCUCAACCGCCUGCUCUGGUGCACAUGGAAGGCUAUGUGGCAGCAUCCGAACAUUCCCUCGGGAGCAGCGAUCCUGAACUGUCCACAUGUUCCCUGGAUGUGAACUAUCCCCAAAGUCUUCAGGACAUGGAGGACCUCGAUGAAGAUCAGGAAUUGGAAGCCAACAAACUGGAGCCCAGAGGUGGAGAGGCUGCCGUCGAGCCUGACCUGGAGAGUGGAGAGGAAUGGGUAUUCAGGAUCCACGCAGGUGAGUGAAGGAUGUGCCCUGAGGUGGUUCCAGGGACACAUCCUCCUAGGGCUCCCAGGCUGAGCCCCCAGGAGCUGCUUUCAUCUGAAGGGAAGGCUGGGGGUGCUGGUACGACUGGCAUGUGAAUGGCUUCAGUGUGGCCACGGGUGGUGUUGUUUCUGGAAGAGCCACCAGAGCCGCUCAACACCUCCCUCUAGAGGGCACUUUCCUGCCUGCCCGACAUGGAUGCCAACAGGGAGCCUCACCAGCUGUGGUGGGACACUAGUGUUGUCCCUGAGCUCCUCCACCUCGAGACAAUGAGGUGAGGAUGGACAGAGGGAGGCACCUCUGGGCUCCUUUUCAUACCAGAAGAGGCCACAGAUCCACCUUUGCAGCCCUGUGGGUACCUGGCCCAUCCUGACACUACUUAGGGGCCAGUGCAGAACAAGGGGCUGCUGGGCUUUCCCCAAUCCUCAGGGGGGGGCCCUCAGCCCCUUUUCUUAGAGGGUGACGACCGAGGAUUUUUAAAAUAUGUUUAAACUGUUUUAUUGGGGGGGAUAUAAAAUCAUCUGGUUAGCUGUCAAGUUCUAACAGAAACACUUGACAUCAAUUCAAAGCAAAGCUCACUUUGGAGAGUGACAGGAGCAGGGCCACAAGUCCCUCUGUUCUUCUCGUCUGUGCUCUGAUUUUACACACACACUGGUUUUAUGACCCUUUCAGAAGAAGUGGCUUCCAUCCCAGUUCCAUGCUGAAAGGUACUAAAGCAAUCAUGAUAUGGUUUUAAUGCCACAAAAUAACAGUUUCCAAUUACAUGCUUGAGAUCAGAUCUACAGGGAGGAUAGAAAGAAGUUCUGCAAGAUUAGGGAAGGAAACCGAAGAGCUGGGGAAGUUGUCUGUAGUUAACAUGUGGGUCACAGGCUGGAUCCUAGAUUCUGAUGGUGAGGUCAGACUGGGCAGGAUCACAGCCCCACCCUGUGUCAUCAGACCCAGGGGAGUAGGCCUUGGCUUUUUAAUCCCAGGGCCAGGUUAGAACGGCUUACUUACACAAAUCUACCAAAAACAGAUGCUGGUGAAUAAGUGGGGAAAAAGGGACACUAACCCACUCUUGGUGGGAAUGCAAACUGGUAAAGCCACUAUGGAAGCCAGUUUGGAGAUUCCUCAGAAACCUGAAUAUAACCCUCCCAUACAACCCAGCCAAUCCUCUCCUUGGAAUUUACCCAAAGGAUACUAAAUUGGCAAAUAAAAGAGCUGUCUGCACCUCA
This is a long non-coding RNA of Oryctolagus cuniculus (rabbit), 1740 nucleotides long. The record is from Ensembl. Lineage: Eukaryota; Metazoa; Chordata; Mammalia; Lagomorpha; Leporidae.